This 474-nucleotide ribosomal RNA is filed under the name Triticum aestivum (bread wheat). Its description in RNAcentral is "partial small subunit ribosomal RNA". The record is from RNAcentral. Lineage: Eukaryota; Viridiplantae; Streptophyta; Magnoliopsida; Poales; Poaceae.
AUGUCGUCGCCGACCCCACCUUCGGCAGACUCCACGCCGAGGCCGAGGUCGCCGACCACGUCCCCGCCCCGCCGGAGGCCUUGCUCGUCAUGGAGAGCCGCGAGCACGGCAGGUCCGACGAGGCCAGCUUCUUCUGCGUCUCCUCGUCCAAGACCACGCCCAUGCCUCGCCGCGUCGCCAUCCCCAGCGGCUACAGCCUCUCCAACGUCUGCAACGGCCUCCUAUGCUUCGCCCUCGACUCCAUCUCCGAUGCGCCGGCGUUCAUCAGCAACCCUGUCACCGGCGAGACGGCAACACUCGCCAAGGCGCCUCCCUUCAGGAUCUGGGAGCGGGACCCAAAAUCUAUCAUCACUUCGCCUUGGGGUUCAGCCCUUCCACCAAGGAGCACAAGCUGUUCCGCUUCUCCUCCUUGGCACCAUACGAUUGUACUAUCUUAGAACCCGAUCAAAAUCAACCAGUGUGUGUGCACCUUAG